AUGAAAACUGUUUCUGUAUCAUCAAAAGAAGAUGCAUCUAUGACAGAAACCGGCAACGAUGACACGGAACCUCUACAGCAACCAGAGGUCAUGAUUUAUGACAUCCCCUCGUCAAUGUUUCCAAGCAUCAAAGAAGCAGAUGCCACAACAGAAACAACCUACAACGACAAUCACAGCAAGGUGGCUUUGUGGCCAGACAUCCCCUCGUCAAUGUGUUCAACAAUCAAAGAAGUAAAUGCACGAAUACAAUCAUUCUAUAACGAUGAUCACGAUAAUGAUGAAGUCAUAUGUGAGAAAGACAAAACCAUCAAAGAAGUAGAUGGACCAAGACAAUCAAUCUACAACGAUGAUCACGGUAAUGAUGAAGUCAUAUUUGAAGAAGAUACAAAUGAGGAUGAAUACAUGUUCUUUGGUGAAGAAGAGGAUGAGGAAGUGGAAAUUGAAAUCAAGGAAGACGAGGAACUUCACAAUCCUGAUCCGUAUGAUUUUGUCUACAGCAACAUACCAAAGAACACACACGUAGAUACAACUGACAUUCGAACAACUGGUAUUUACACCUUUCGAGCUCAUGGUCAGAUCUAUCACAACAUACACUCAUUUGGUAAUAGUCACUCAGAUCCAAAGCAUAUGGAGCUAUACUUCUACGAUGAUGAUCCAAGCUUAGAGCAUCGGUACCGCCACUGUCGCGAGGCAAUGAAAAUCCCAAAGAAGGAUACACAAGAGGAAGAUGUUGGUGCUGAAAAUAUCAAUAAUGAUGAUGAUCCAGAUGCUAUGGCUUUAGUUAGAAAAUAUGGAAAGCCGGAUGUAUUCCUCACAAUGACCUGCAACCCCAACUGGGAAGAGAUCACACGUGAACUACAGUUCGGACAAACACCACAAGAUCGCCCAGACAUUGUAGUUCGUGUCUUCAGGGCCAAGCUAGAAGAAAUGAAGAAGCAACUAUUUGAGAAGGCCAUUCUUGGAAAGGUUCAGGCAUAUACAUAUGUCGUAGAGUUCCAAAAGAGGGGACUACCCCGUGCUCACUUUUUGCUCAUCAUGACCGGGAAAUACAAAUACACAUGUCCGGAACAGUAUGACAGAAUUAUCUCCGCUGAGCUCCCUGACAAGCACAAGUACCCGGAGCUACACAAAAUGGUAGUCAAACAUAUGAUGCAUUGUCCUUGCGGUGCAUUGAAUAAAUUUUGUCCAUGCACAAAGAAUCGUCCGUCAUGCAAGAAUAAUUAUCCAAGGCCAUUUAACGAAACUACGAUUCAAGGCAAGGACUCCUACCCACUUUAUAGGAGACGCAAUGAUGGUCCGACUGAAAUGGUCCGCAAUUGCCAACUAGAUAAUAGGUGGGUUGUUCCUUACAACCCCUAUCUGUUAAGGAUGUUCAACUGCCACAUAAAUAUUGAGAUAUGCUCAAGCAUUAAAGCCGUUAAGUACCUCUUCAAGUACAUCUACAAGGGUCAUGACCGAGCAUCUGUGUCAGUAACUGACAAAGUGGACGAAGUCGAAAUCGACGAGAUUAAACAAUACAGAGACGCACGGUGGGUGACGCCUCCGGAAGCACUGUGGAGAAUAUAUGGCUUUGAACUAAGCAAAAUGCACCCACCUGUCUUGCAACUGCAGCUACAUCUCCCAAAUAUGCACAUGGUUUCAUAUCAUGGUAUGGAAAAAAUAAAGAAUGUUAUCAACCGUGAUGGCACAGAAAGAUCAAUAUUGACAGCGUACUUUGAAGCAAACAGCUUAUAUGAGAAAGCACGAGGCAUACUAUACAAAGACUUUCCACAAUAUUAUACUUGGCAAAGACGAGGGAAGUUUUGGCAAGAGAGGAAGCGAGCCGCUGUGUUCCAGGUUGGCAGGAUCGUCUCAGCACACCUGGCUGAAGGAGAACGAUACUAUCUUCGAGUUCUCCUAAACCACGUGACAGGCGCCACCAGCUACGAAGACCUACGAACAGUCGAUGGACAAGUAAUGCCAACCUUCCGUGAAGCUGCAGAAAAACGGGGGCUCAUUGAGGCAGACAACACACUAGAUGAUUGCAUGACAGAAGCUGAGUUGUUUCGGAUGCCAUCAUCGCUCAGAAGGCAAUGUCAGAAGACUACAGCAGAAACUGCAAAUGCAAGCACACGGUCAAACAGAUGGUUCGGAAAAAUAUCAGACAUGUUGCACUCAAUGGGGAAAGACAUAGAAUCGUUUCCUCUUCCAGAUAUCGACAAACAGCAUGAGACGACAGACGACAUACCUAGGGAGAUCAUUGAGGAGACCUCCAUCGAGGUGGACCCUGAGGACGCAUCGUUGCAUAAAAACCUCAACAACGAGCAGAGGAAGGCCUACGACGAAAUCCUAGCCACGGUUGACCGCCAAAGAGGAGGUAUAUUCUUUGUCGAUGGGCCGGGAGGCACAGGAAAAACUUUUCUUUACAGGGCGCUUUUGGCCACAGUGCGCGGACAAGGCAAGAUUGCUGUGGCGACGGCCACUUCCGGUGUUGCUGCUUCCAUAAUGCCUGGAGGGAGAACCGCACACUCGAGGUUUAAGAUUCCACUAAAAAUAGACAAUGGAGCUAUUUGUAGGUUCACAAAACAAAGUGGGACAGGAAAGCUACUCCAAGCAGCAUCACUAAUACUCUGGGAUGAAGCAUCUAUGACUAAGAGGCAGACAGUGGAGGCGUUAGACAAAAGCAUGCGGGACAUAACGGACAGACCAGAUCUUCAAUUUGGUGGAAAAACUAUUGUAUUUGGGGGAGAUUUUAGACAAGUGCUACCUAUUGUCCGGAAGGGAACCAGAGCCCAAAUAGUAGAUGCAUCACUGCGCAGGUCAGAGCUCUGGAAUUGCAUGCGUCAAUUGAAGCUUGUACGCAACAUGAGGGCUCAAAACGACUCUUGGUUCGCAGAAUACCUACUACGCAUUGGGAACGGAACCGAGGAGACAAAUGAUGAUGGUGAAAUACUACUACCUACAAGCAUAUGUGUGCCAAAUAAGACGGAUGAUAAUGGCCUCGAUAGACUCAUCAACAGUAUCUACCAAACAGGCAAUGCUUCACUAAAAGAUCCAAAGUACAUCAUAUCAAGAGCAAUUUUAUCCACAAGGAACGAUUGCGUAGACAAAAUCAACCUAAAAAUGAUUGAUCGCUUCCAGGGGGAGGAGAUGGUGUACCACAGCUUUGAUUCUGUAGAAGACGACCCACAUAACUACUAUCCACCAGAAUUCCUAAACACCCUAACCCCAAAUGGACUGCCUCCGCAUAUGUUGAAGCUCAAAAUUAAUUGUCCAAUCAUACUACUCAGGAACAUCGACCCUGCUAAUGGACUCUGCAAUGGCACGAGGUUGGUCGUACGUGGUUUUCAAAAAAAUACAAUUGAUGCAGAGAUUGUGAGCAACCGCGACAUCAAACAUAAAGUCUCAAAAAGACCCGUGGCCUUCACUGCUGUAGCAAUACAAACAGCAGCACCAACACCAAUCACAGGUGGAUCAACUCCAACUGCAGCUGCUAGGGAUCUUGGUGCACAGGUUGAACACGGUGGCAAGGGAACCAGACGACAAGGGCAUAUUGGUACUAAGUUCGUUGCUGCAGUGCAGUACAUGGAAAGAGAGGACAGGGGCGAGAGUGGGGGUGGACCUCCAUGGCACCAGCAGCAGUACGUCGGAGGAGCUCGGAGCAGUGGAGCCGUCUCCUCGCCCCUCGCAGGGCCUCGUCGGCGGCGAGCAGGACCACGCCGUGGAACAAUCUGCAUCCAACUCCUCCUCUACCGGCCAGGAGCCCGCUGCAUCCGCGCGAGGAAGCGCUGUGGAGGGCACGACGGUACAGCCACAUCCUUCGUGCCCUCAUCCUCCGAGAACGACGAGAAGACGGGAGGCGGCGGCGCCGCCGCUUGGCCAGCACCAGGAGAGAAAAUGGGGAACGGGAAGAGAUAUCGAGUUCCUUCGUAUCACAUAGGGCCAGAAAAUUUGCGUUGGGCCACGGGCCGCCGCCUACCCGGCUCCAGCCGAACGCGCGCCGGCCGCUCUGGCACGGCGGCGGUCCGCAAUCCUCUAAUUCAUCUUAUCCAAACUCCUUCCUUUCCAGCGACGGCGGAGCACGGGCAGGUGACGGGCGGCGCCCUUGUCGUCGGACGGCUACAACCGCGGUGGAGGAGAAGGCAGACGUCGUGGGUGCGUGCUUGGGUAAGGGAGGCCACCCUUGCUGUGCUCGUGGGCGUUCAUGGAGGAUGGAAGGGGGGACAGCUUCCUGUGGGUGCGCCGGCUGUGCUCGUGGGCGUUCAUGGAGGAUGGAAGGUGGGACAGCAUCCUGUGGUAAGGGUCCUCGGCCGGAAUCUCCAUCAGGUCGUGCCCUGGGACCAUAAUCUCCAUCAUCCCGUCGAAAUUGCAAUUUUUGACCAAACGUCCAAUGUCACCGCCAAGUUCGCCGGAGGAAAAAGCGCCGAGUUCGCCGGAGGAACAAGAACAUCCGUCGAGCCGUGCAAUGUCUCCUAUGGAGGCUACACGAGAGAAUGGGAUGCGCCGUCGCCGCCGCCAGCACGGUCCCAACAGCUGCCGCGAGUCUCCACGAUCGACGUCGCCGUCCGUCUGUGCCCCGAGCUCGACGGUUCUCCGGCUGACAAGCAUUCGUUCAUGUCCCCGCCAGUGUUAGGCGUUGCUCGCCACCGCCCCAGAUCGCUUUCGUGCGUCAUCGCCGCCCCAAGCUCCAUGAGCUAA
This 4677-nucleotide ribosomal RNA is filed under the name Triticum aestivum (bread wheat). Its description in RNAcentral is "partial small subunit ribosomal RNA". The record is from RNAcentral. Lineage: Eukaryota; Viridiplantae; Streptophyta; Magnoliopsida; Poales; Poaceae.